ACCGAUGCAUUGAUCCAGCUAAUCAAAGAUCAUUGCCGCUGGGUCGAUCCUCCUGCAGAAGAGUAAUAAUAUCAAGUAAUUCUAAUUUGGAUAUAGGAAGAAAGUGGCAGUAAAAGGGACGUCACAGUUUACAUAUUCUAUUAUACAUGUAAUGCAAAAGCCAGAAGUUGAAAUCUUAGAGAGUCUAGCUGCACCGUGUAGAAAUCUUUCCUUGUAUGUGAACGUCGGUGUAAUUGGAAUGUAAUCUUCAAUUAGCAUGCAAAUAACUUUGUAAUUCUCUCACCAAUAAGAAAUUCAAGAUUUCCUGAAUGUUGCAAAUUGUAGAUCAACCAAUGUACGUAGACAUACCAAUUAAAUUGAAUUCCAGCAGUAUAGAAUUUGAGCUACAAUUUGCAACAUUCAGGAAAUCUUGAAUUUCUUAUUGGUGAGAGAAUUACAAAGUUAUUUGCAUGCUAAUUGAAGAUUACAUUCCAAUUACACCGACGUUCACAUACAAGGAAAGAUUUCUACACGGUGCAGCUAGACUCUCUAAGAUUUCAACUUCUGGCUUUUGCAUUACAUGUAUAAUAGAAUAUGUAAACUGUGACGUCCCUUUUACUGCCACUUUCUUCCUAUAUCCAAAUUAGAAUUACUUGAUAUUAUUACUCUUCUGCAGGAGGAUCGACCCAGCGGCAAUGAUCUUUGAUUAGCUGGAUCAAUGCAUCGGU
This 707-nucleotide unclassified non-coding RNA is filed under the name Hevea brasiliensis (rubber tree). The record is from RNAcentral. Lineage: Eukaryota; Viridiplantae; Streptophyta; Magnoliopsida; Malpighiales; Euphorbiaceae.